UACGAAGGGGGCUAGCGUUGUUCGGAAUUACUGGGCGUAAAGCGCACGUAGGCGGAUAUUUAAGUCAGGGGUGAAAUCCCAGAGCUCAACUCUGGAACUGCCUUUGAUACUGGGUAUCUUGAGUAUGGAAGAGGUAAGUGGAAUUGCGAGUGUAGAGGUGAAAUUCGUAGAUAUUCGCAGGAACACAGUGGCGAAGGCGGCUUACUGGUCCAUAACUGACGCUGAGGUGCGGAAAGCGUGGGGAGCAAACAGGG
RNAcentral lists this ribosomal RNA (254 nucleotides) under uncultured bacterium. RNAcentral describes it as "partial 16S ribosomal RNA". It matches the Rfam family "Bacterial small subunit ribosomal RNA", at positions 524 to 777 of the family's 1533-position model. The record is from RNAcentral.